Molecule: ribosomal RNA, 496 nt
Filed under: uncultured bacterium
Lineage: Bacteria
Description: partial 16S ribosomal RNA
Rfam family: Bacterial small subunit ribosomal RNA
Source: RNAcentral
AUGAACGCUGGCGGCGUGCCUAAUACCUGCAAGUCGAGCGCACGGACGAGAAGCUAGCUUCUCUGAUGUUAGCGGCGGACGGGUGAGUAACACGUGGAUAACCUACCUAUAAGACUGGGAUAACUUCGGGAAACCGGAGCUAAUACCGGAUAAUAUUUUGAACCGCAUGGUUCAAAAGUGAAAGACGGUCUUGCUGUCACUUAUAGAUGGAUCCGCGCUGCAUUAGCUAGUUGGUAAGGUAACGGCUUACCAAGGCAACGAUGCAUAGCCGACCUGAGAGGGUGAUCGGCCACACUGGAACUGAGACACGGUCCAGACUCCUACGGGAGGCAGCAGUAGGGAAUCUUCCGCAAUGGGCGAAAGCCUGACGGAGCAACGCCGCGUGAGUGAUGAAGGUCUUCGGAUCGUAAAACUCUGUUAUUAGGGAAGAACAUAUGUGUAAGUAACUGUGCACAUCUUGACGGUACCUAAUCAGAAAGCCACGGCUAACUACGUG